RNAcentral lists this small RNA (35 nucleotides) under Bombyx mori (domestic silkworm). RNAcentral's name for it is "ovarian small RNA-14049". Lineage: Eukaryota; Metazoa; Arthropoda; Insecta; Lepidoptera; Bombycidae. The record is from RNAcentral.
CCUGAAAUUACAAUCAAUAAUUACGCCGCAUGUUA